GACAGAGGAUGCAAGCGUGAUCCGGAAUGAUUGGGCGUAAAGCGUCUGUAGGUGGCUUCUUAAGUCCGCUGUCAAAUCCCAGGGCUUAACCCUGGCCAGGCGGUGGAGACUACUAAGCUUGAGUACGGUAGGGGCAGAGGGAAUUUCCGGUGGAGCGGUGAAAUGCGUAGAGAUCGGAAAGAACACCAAGGGCGAAGGCACUCUGCUGGGCCGACACUGACACUGAGAGACGAGAGCUAGGGGAGCAAAUGGG
RNAcentral lists this ribosomal RNA (253 nucleotides) under uncultured bacterium. Its description in RNAcentral is "partial 16S ribosomal RNA". It matches the Rfam family "Bacterial small subunit ribosomal RNA", at positions 524 to 776 of the family's 1533-position model. The record is from RNAcentral.